AGGAUGAACGCUGGCGGCGUGCUUAACACAUGCAAGUCGAACGAUGAAGGCUGGAGCUUGCUCUGGCUGGAUUAGUGGCGAACGGGUGAGUAACACGUGAGUAACCUGCCCCAGACUCUGGGAUAAGCACUGGAAACGGCGUCUAAUACCGGAUACGAGCUUCCACCGCAUGGUGAGGAGCUGGAAAGAAUUUUCGGUCUGGGAUGGACUCGCGGCCUAUCAGCUUGUUGGUGAGGUAAUGGCUCACCAAGGCGACGACGGGUAGCCGGCCUGAGAGGGUGACCGGCACGACUGGGACUGACGACACGGCCAGACCUCCGUACGGGAGCCAGCGAGGUGGGAAUAUUGCAGAAUGGACGCAAGCCUGAUGACAGACAACCGCCGCGGUGAAGGGACGAACGGUCCGUU
RNAcentral lists this ribosomal RNA (408 nucleotides) under uncultured soil bacterium. RNAcentral's name for it is "bacterial SSU rRNA". It matches the Rfam family "Bacterial small subunit ribosomal RNA", at positions 26 to 427 of the family's 1533-position model. The record is from RNAcentral.